This 253-nucleotide ribosomal RNA is filed under the name uncultured bacterium. RNAcentral describes it as "partial 16S ribosomal RNA". It matches the Rfam family "Bacterial small subunit ribosomal RNA", at positions 524 to 776 of the family's 1533-position model. The record is from RNAcentral.
UACGUAGGGGGCAAGCGUUGUCCGGAUUUAUUGGGCGUAAAGAGCGUGUAGGCGGUCAGGUAGGUCCGUUGUGAAAACUCGAGGCUCAACCUCGAGACGCCGAUGGAAACCAUCUGACUAGAGUCCGGAAGAGGAGAGUGGAAUUCCUGGUGUAGCGGUGAAAUGCGCAGAUAUCAGGAAGAACACCCGUGGCUAAGGCGGCUCUCUGUACGGUACUGGACGCUGAGGAGCGAAAGCGUGGGGAGCGAACAGG